RNAcentral lists this transfer RNA (64 nucleotides) under Paraahimia luodianensis. RNAcentral describes it as "tRNA-Val". The record is from RNAcentral. Lineage: Eukaryota; Metazoa; Arthropoda; Insecta; Hemiptera; Cicadellidae.
CAAGAUGUAGCUUAUUUAAAGCUUAUUAGUUACAUUAAUAUGAAAAUUAUUUUAUUUUUCUUGA